AAAUUGAAGAGUUUGAUCAUGGCUCAGAUUGAACGCUGGCGGCAGGCCUAACACAUGCAAGUCGAACGGUAACAGGAAGCAGCUUGCUGCUUUGCUGACGAGUGGCGGACGGGUGAGUAAUGUCUGGGAAACUGCCUGAUGGAGGGGGAUAACUACUGGAAACGGUAGCUAAUACCGCAUAACGUCGCAAGACCAAAGAGGGGGACCUUCGGGCCUCUUGCCAUCGGAUGUGCCCAGAUGGGAUUAGCUAGUAG
Molecule: ribosomal RNA, 254 nt
Filed under: Escherichia coli
Lineage: Bacteria; Pseudomonadati; Pseudomonadota; Gammaproteobacteria; Enterobacterales; Enterobacteriaceae
Description: partial 16S ribosomal RNA
Rfam family: Bacterial small subunit ribosomal RNA
Source: RNAcentral